Molecule: ribosomal RNA, 484 nt
Filed under: uncultured bacterium
Lineage: Bacteria
Description: partial 16S ribosomal RNA
Rfam family: Bacterial small subunit ribosomal RNA
Source: RNAcentral
GACGAACGCUGGCGGCGUGCUUAACACAUGCAAGUCGAACGAUGAAGCCGGAGCUUGCUCUGGUGAAUUAGUGGCGAACGGGUGAGUAACACGUGAGUAACCAGCCCUUGACUCUGGGAUAACUGCGGGAAACUGUAGCUAAUACCGGAUACGACCCUCGGAGGCAUCUCCUGGGGGUGGAAAGAAUUUCGGUCAAGGAUGGACUCGCGGCCUAGCAGCUAGUUGGUGAGGUAAAGGCUCGACAAGGCCACGACGGGUAGCCGGCCUGAGAGGGUGACCGGCCUCACUGGGACUGAGACACGGCCCAGACUCCUACGGGAGGCAGCAGUGGGGAAUAUUGCACAAUGGGCGCAAGCCUGAUGCAGCAACGCCGCGUGAGGAACGACGGCCUUCGGGUUGUAAACCUCUUUUAGUAGGGAAGAAGCGAAAGUGACGGUACCUGCAGAAAAAGCACCGGCUAACUACGUGCCAGCCGCCGCGGUAA